This 467-nucleotide long non-coding RNA is filed under the name Manihot esculenta (cassava). RNAcentral's name for it is "long non-coding RNA (MESC_LNC000096)". The record is from RNAcentral. Lineage: Eukaryota; Viridiplantae; Streptophyta; Magnoliopsida; Malpighiales; Euphorbiaceae.
AACUUGGAGGCGCUACAAAUCCCCGAGUUUGAUGAAGUCAGAGCAGUGGAGGCCAUGUAGAAAGGUACCACUUCUCCAAAAUUUUUUAGAUCGUUAUGCAGAAAGCCACCUACUAUCCUGGCAGAACUGGUGAAGAGAGCAGAAAAGUAUAUAAGGCAAGACGACGCCUUAACCACUAACAUAUUUGUCAGGGAAGCAAGAGACAGGGGAAAGGCUGUGGAGGAAGACGGGUGAUGGAGACAGAGAGGCCAGUAGGAGAAAUGAGUCAAUGGCCAGAGCACGAGGCUGGGUGAUAAGAGAACUCAUUGAGAAUGACGGGACUGAAAGCUACUCUUACGAACUGGAGAAAAGAUUAGACAGUGAAGAGUUGGAGAAAAACUAUCGUCCAAAAAAAUACAGAGGAGUGAGGAGGAAGAUGUAGAUCAGAAGUUGAAGAAGCUAAAGGAGCAACUGUUGGCAGAACCGGG